RNAcentral lists this ribosomal RNA (1338 nucleotides) under Arthrobacter sp. Its description in RNAcentral is "bacterial SSU rRNA". It matches the Rfam family "Bacterial small subunit ribosomal RNA", at positions 82 to 1429 of the family's 1533-position model. The record is from RNAcentral. Lineage: Bacteria; Bacillati; Actinomycetota; Actinomycetes; Micrococcales; Micrococcaceae.
GCCGGGGGGAUUAGUGGCGAACGGGUGAGUAACACGUGAGUAACCUGCCCUUGACUCUGGGAUAAGCCUGGGAAACUGGGUCUAAUACCGGAUAUGACCAUUCCGCGCAUGCGGUGGUGGUGGAAAGCUUUUGCGGUUUUGGAUGGACUCGCGGCCUAUCAGCUUGUUGGUGGGGUAAUGGCCUACCAAGGCGACGACGGGUAGCCGGCCUGAGAGGGUGACCGGCCACACUGGGACUGAGACACGGCCCAGACUCCUACGGGAGGCAGCAGUGGGGAAUAUUGCACAAUGGGCGAAAGCCUGAUGCAGCGACGCCGCGUGAGGGAUGACGGCCUUCGGGUUGUAAACCUCUUUCAGUAGGGAAGAAGCCGCAAGGUGACGGUACCUGCAGAAGAAGCGCCGGCUAACUACGUGCCAGCAGCCGCGGUAAUACGUAGGGCGCAAGCGUUAUCCGGAAUUAUUGGGCGUAAAGAGCUCGUAGGCGGUUUGUCGCGUCUGCUGUGAAAGACCGGGGCUCAACUCCGGUUCUGCAGUGGGUACGGGCAGACUAGAGUGAUGUAGGGGAGACUGGAAUUCCUGGUGUAGCGGUGAAAUGCGCAGAUAUCAGGAGGAACACCGAUGGCGAAGGCAGGUCUCUGGGCAUUAACUGACGCUGAGGAGCGAAAGCAUGGGGAGCGAACAGGAUUAGAUACCCUGGUAGUCCAUGCCGUAAACGUUGGGCACUAGGUGUGGGGGACAUUCCACGUUUUCCGCGCCGUAGCUAACGCAUUAAGUGCCCCGCCUGGGGAGUACGGCCGCAAGGCUAAAACUCAAAGGAAUUGACGGGGGCCCGCACAAGCGGCGGAGCAUGCGGAUUAAUUCGAUGCAACGCGAAGAACCUUACCAAGGCUUGACAUGAACCGGUAACGCCUGGAAACAGGUGCCCCGCUUGCGGUCGGUUUACAGGUGGUGCAUGGUUGUCGUCAGCUCGUGUCGUGAGAUGUUGGGUUAAGUCCCGCAACGAGCGCAACCCUCGUUCCAUGUUGCCAGCACGUAGUGGUGGGGACUCAUGGGAGACUGCCGGGGUCAACUCGGAGGAAGGUGGGGACGACGUCAAAUCAUCAUGCCCCUUAUGUCUUGGGCUUCACGCAUGCUACAAUGGCCGGUACAAAGGGUUGCGAUACUGUGAGGUGGAGCUAAUCCCAAAAAGCCGGUCUCAGUUCGGAUUGGGGUCUGCAACUCGACCCCAUGAAGUCGGAGUCGCUAGUAAUCGCAGAUCAGCAACGCUGCGGUGAAUACGUUCCCGGGCCUUGUACACACCGCCCGUCAAGUCACGAAAGUUGGUAACACCCGAAGCCG